CGGGGCAUGGCGCAGCCCGGUAGCGCACCUGUAUGGGGUACAGGAGGUCGCAGGUUCGAAUCCUGCUGCCCCGACCA
Molecule: transfer RNA, 77 nt
Filed under: Dehalococcoidia bacterium
Lineage: Bacteria; Bacillati; Chloroflexota; Dehalococcoidia
Description: tRNA-Pro
Rfam family: tRNA
About the family: Transfer RNA (tRNA) molecules are approximately 80 nucleotides in length.
Source: RNAcentral